RNAcentral lists this ribosomal RNA (443 nucleotides) under uncultured bacterium. Its description in RNAcentral is "partial 16S ribosomal RNA". It matches the Rfam family "Bacterial small subunit ribosomal RNA", at positions 338 to 795 of the family's 1533-position model. The record is from RNAcentral.
CCUACGGGUGGCAGCAGUGGGGAAUAUUGGACAAUGGGGGGAACCCUGAUCCAGCGACGCCGCGUGAGUGAAGAAGUAUUUCGGUAUGUAAAGCUCUAUCAGCAGGGAAGAAAGAAAUGACGGUACCUGACUAAGAAGCCCCGGCUAACUACGUGCCAGCAGCCGCGGUAAUACGUAGGGGGCAAGCGUUAUCCGGAUUUACUGGGUGUAAAGGGAGCGUAGACGGCGAUGCAAGUCUGAAGUGAAAGGCGGGGGCCCAACCCCUGGACUGCUUUGGAAACUGUGUAACUGGAGUACAGGAGGGGCAGGCGGAAUUCCUGGUGUAGCGGUGAAAUGCGUAGAUAUCAGGAGGAACACCGGCGGCGAAGGCGGCCUGCUGGACUGAAACUGACGUUGAGGCUCGAAAGCGUGGGGAGCAAACAGGAUUAGAUACCCCGGUAGUC